UACGUAGGGGGCUAGCGUUGUCCGGAAUCAUUGGGCGUAAAGCGCGUGUAGGCGGCUCGAUAAGUCCGCUCUGAAAGCCCGGGGCUCAACCCCGGGAGGCGGGUGGAUACUGUCGAGCUCGAGUCCGGAAGAGGCAAGUGGAAUUCCCGGUGUAGUGGUGAAAUGCGUAGAUAUCGGGAGGAACACCAGUGGCGAAGGCGACUACCUGGCCUGUUCUUGACGCUGAGGCGCGAAAGCUAGGGGAGCAAACGGG
This 253-nucleotide ribosomal RNA is filed under the name uncultured bacterium. RNAcentral's name for it is "partial 16S ribosomal RNA". It matches the Rfam family "Bacterial small subunit ribosomal RNA", at positions 524 to 776 of the family's 1533-position model. The record is from RNAcentral.